RNAcentral lists this ribosomal RNA (485 nucleotides) under uncultured bacterium. Its description in RNAcentral is "partial 16S ribosomal RNA". It matches the Rfam family "Bacterial small subunit ribosomal RNA", at positions 29 to 523 of the family's 1533-position model. The record is from RNAcentral.
AGUGAACGCUGGCGGCGUGCUUAACACAUGCAAGUCGAACGAGAACGGAAUAUAGCUUGCUAUAUUUGUCAGCUAAGUGGCGCACGGGUGAGUAAUGUAUAGAUAACCCGCCCUUAAGAAAGGAAUAACAGUUGGAAACGACUGCUAAUGCCCUAUAUGCCUUUAAUACAUAAGUAUGCAAGGGAAACGCUUUAGUGCUUAAGGAUGGGUCUGUAUGGUAUCAGCUUGUUGGUGAGGUAAUGGCUCACCAAGGCUAUGACGCCUAACUGGUUUGAGAGGAUGAUCAGUCACACUGGAACUGAGACACGGUCCAGACUCCUACGGGAGGCAGCAGUGGGGAAUAUUGCACAAUGGACGAAAGUCUGAUGCAGCAACGCCGCGUGGAGGAUGACACAUUUCGGUGCGUAAACUCCUUUUAUAUAGGAAGAUAAUGACGGUACUAUAUGAAUAAGGAUCGGCAAACUCCGUGCCAGCCGCCGCGGUAA